Molecule: ribosomal RNA, 460 nt
Filed under: uncultured bacterium
Lineage: Bacteria
Description: partial 16S ribosomal RNA
Rfam family: Bacterial small subunit ribosomal RNA
Source: RNAcentral
CCUACGGGAGGCAGCAGUGAGGAAUAUUGGUCAAUGGACGAGAGUCUGAACCAGCCAAGUAGCGUGAAGGAUGACUGCCCUAUGGGUUGUAAACUUCUUUUAUAAAGGAAUAAAACGAGGCACGUGUGCCUUUUUGCAUGUACUUUAUGAAUAAGGAUCGGCUAACUCCGUGCCAGCAGCCGCGGUAAUACGGAGGAUCCGAGCGUUAUCCGGAUUUAUUGGGUUUAAAGGGAGCGUAGAUGGGUUGUUAAGUCAGUUGUGAAAGUUUGAGGCUCAACCGUAAAAUUGCAAUUGAUACUGGCAGUCUUGAGUACAGUUGAGGUAGGCGGAAUUCGUGGUGUAGCGGUGAAAUGCUUAGAUAUCACGAAGAACCCCGAUGGCGAAGGCAGCUUACUAAACUGUGACUGACAUUGAUGCUCGAAAGUGUGGGUAGCAAACAGGAUUAGAUACCCGAGUAGUC